AUGAAUAAGAUAUCCAUCUUUCCUCUGAAUUUCUCCGAAAUGUUGAUGGAAGGCGGCAUCUUCCAAUGCUAUAUAUAUGCCCAUGUCUCUGAGCCUGGAAAAUGUUCCAUUUGCAACCACUGUCUACAUCAAGCUACAUAUAUUUCAUUCUCUCUCUUUUUCAUGUGGGCGAUGGUGAUUAUAGAUCAAAACAUCCUAAUCACAUUGGUGUCAUCUCUCCUGAUGUUGAUCUUGCGGCCAUUGAUCGUAGAUGUCAUCCUGGUAAGCAAAAAGAUCUGGAGCUUCUUGUGCACACUUACAAAAUACCUAGUGCAUGACGACACCCUUGUCGUCGACUCCGUGGUGCUUGGUGAUAGCCGCGCACCGCCGGCGCAACUAGUUGGCGGCGGCGGACUGACCUCUGGUGACAUAGAAAUUGUCACGACGAGGCUUGGUCUGACCGGGUGGAGGUACCAACCGUGUGAAGUAAUCAGUGUCGUAGAUGAGUUUAUGGACGGUAAGCAAGCGAGCGAGGAUGAGCUGGAGGAGGCCUUCUACGUUUUUGACCGUAACGAGGAUGGGUUCAUAUGCGCCGGGGAGUUGUGGAAUGUGAUGAGGAGGCUAGGGUGGAAAGAAGGGGCGAUGUAUGAGGACUGUGUGAGGAUGAUCUGCGCCUUCGAUGAGGAUGGAGAUGGGAAGAUCAACUUCCUAGAGUUUAGAAGGAUGAUGGAGAAUGCCGUUUAA
This 723-nucleotide ribosomal RNA is filed under the name Triticum aestivum (bread wheat). Its description in RNAcentral is "partial small subunit ribosomal RNA". The record is from RNAcentral. Lineage: Eukaryota; Viridiplantae; Streptophyta; Magnoliopsida; Poales; Poaceae.